This 429-nucleotide ribosomal RNA is filed under the name uncultured archaeon. Its description in RNAcentral is "bacterial SSU rRNA". It matches the Rfam family "Archaeal small subunit ribosomal RNA", at positions 474 to 903 of the family's 1478-position model. The record is from RNAcentral.
UACCAGCUCUCCGAGUGGUGUGGAUGUUUAUUGGGCCUAAAGCAUCCGUAGCUGGCUGGACAAGUCCCCUGUUAAAUCCACCGAUUUAAUCGUUGGUGUGCGGGGGAUACUGUUCGGCUAGGGGACGGGAGAGGCCGACGGUAUUUCCGGGGUAGGGGUGAAAUCCUAUAAUCCCGGGAAGACCACCGGUGGCGAAGGCUGUCGGCUAGAACGCGCCCGACGGUGAGGGAUGAAAGCUGGGGGAGCGAACCGGAUUAGAUACCCGGGUAGUCCCAGCUGUAAACGAUGCAGGCUAGGUGUUUGGGCGGCCACGUGCCGCUCUAGUGCCGCAAGGAAGCUGUUAAGCCUGCCGCCUGGGGAGUACGGCCGCAAGGCUGAAACUUAAAGGAAUUGGCGGGGGAGCACCACAAGGGGUGAAGCUUGCGGUUU